RNAcentral lists this ribosomal RNA (468 nucleotides) under uncultured bacterium. RNAcentral describes it as "partial 16S ribosomal RNA". It matches the Rfam family "Bacterial small subunit ribosomal RNA", at positions 28 to 507 of the family's 1533-position model. The record is from RNAcentral.
GACGAACGCUGGCGGCGUGCUUAACACAUGCAAGUCGAACGGAAAGGCCCUGCUUUUGUGGGGUGCCCGAGUGGCGAACGGGUGAGUAACACGUGAGUAACCUGCCCUUGACUUUGGGAUAACUUCAGGAAACUGGGGCUAAUACCGGAUAGGAUCUCCUGCUGCAUGGUGGGGGUUGGAAAGUUUCGGCGGUUGGGGAUGGACUCGCGGCUUAUCAGCUUGUUGGUGGGGUAGUGGCUUACCAAGGCUUUGACGGGUAGCCGGCCUGAGAGGGUGACCGGCGACCUGGGGCCUGAGAUACGGACCAGAGGCCUACGGGAGGCAGCGGUGGGGAGUAUUGCACAAUGGGCGGGAGCCUGAUGCAGCGGCGCCGCGUGCGGGAUGACGGCCUUCGGGUUGUGAACCGCUUUCGCCUGUGACGAAGCGUGAGUGACGGUAAUGGGUAAAGAAGCACCGGCUAACUACGUG